Molecule: long non-coding RNA, 942 nt
Filed under: Homo sapiens (human)
Lineage: Eukaryota; Metazoa; Chordata; Mammalia; Primates; Hominidae
Description: long non-coding RNA NONHSAT166626.1
Source: RNAcentral
AACAGAAGAAACUCUGAAGAAAUUGUUACAAGAAGAGGUCACCAAGGUCACCAAAUUCAUUGAAGGUGGUGAUGGUCAUUUAUUUGAAGAUGAAGAAAUUAAAAGACUGCUUCAGGGAGACACACCCGUGAGGAAGUUGCAAGCCAACAAAAAAGUUCAAGGAUCUAGAAGACGAUUAAGGGAAGGUCGUUCUCAGUGAAAAUCCAAAAACCAGAAAAAAAUGUUUAUACAACCCUAAGUCAAUAACCUGACCUUAGAAAAUUGUGAGAGCCAAGUUGACUUCAGGAACUGAAACAUCAGCACAAAGAAGCAAUCAUCAAAUAAUUCUGAACACAAAUUUAAUAUUUUUUUUUCUGAAUGAGAAACAUGAGGGAAAUUGUGGAGUUAGCCUCCUGUGGUAAAGGAAUUGAAGAAAAUAUAACACCUUACACCCUUUUUCAUCUUGACAUUAAAAGUUCUGGCUAACUUUGGAAUCCAUUAGAGAAAAAUCCUUGUCACCAGAUUCAUUACAAUUCAAAUCGAAGAGUUGUGAACUGUUAUCCCAUUGAAAAGACCGAGCCUUGUAUGUAUGUUAUGGAUACAUAAAAUGCACGCAAGCCAUUAUCUCUCCAUGGGAAGCUAAGUUAUAAAAAUAGGUGCUUGGUGUACAAAACUUUUUAUAUCAAAAGGCUUUGCACAUUUCUAUAUGAGUGGGUUUACUGGUAAAUUAUGUUAUUUUUUACAACUAAUUUUGUACUCUCAGAAUGUUUGUCAUAUGCUUCUUGCAAUGCAUAUUUUUUAAUCUCAAACGUUUCAAUAAAACCAUUUUUCAGAUAUAAAGAGAAUUACUUCAAAUUGAGUAAUUCAGAAAAACUCAAGAUUUAAGUUAAAAAGUGGUUUGGACUUGGGAACAGGACUUUAUACCUCUUUUACUGUAACAAGUACUCAUUAAAGGAAAUUGAA